Molecule: ribosomal RNA, 207 nt
Filed under: uncultured bacterium
Lineage: Bacteria
Description: partial 16S ribosomal RNA
Rfam family: Bacterial small subunit ribosomal RNA
Source: RNAcentral
UGCGUAGGUGGUGGACUAAGUCGGGUGUGAAAUCUCCGGGCUCAACCCGGAGGGUGCGCCCGAAACUGGUCUGCUCGAGGAUGGGAGGGGAGACUGGAAUUCUCGGUGUAGCAGUGAAAUGCGUAGAUAUCGAGAGGAACACCGGUGGCGAAGGCGAGUCUCUGGACCAUUCCUGACACUGAGGCACGAAAGCCGGGGGAGCAAACA